CAGCAGCCACGGGAAUACGUAGGGUGCAAGCGUUAAUCGGAAUUACUGGGCGUAAAGCGUGCGCAGGCGGUUAUAUAAGACAGAUGUGAAAUCCCCGGGCUCAACCUGUGAACUGCAUUUGUGACUGUAUAGCUAGAGUACGGCAGAGGGGGAUGGAAUUCCGCGUGUAGCAGUGAAAUGCGUAGAUAUGCGGAGGAACACCGAUGGCGAAGGCAAUCCCCUGGGCCUGUACUGACGCUCAUGCACGAAAGCGUGGGGAGCAAACAGGAUUAGAUACCCGCGUAGUCCCUGUCUCUUAUAU
This 301-nucleotide ribosomal RNA is filed under the name uncultured bacterium. RNAcentral describes it as "partial 16S ribosomal RNA". It matches the Rfam family "Bacterial small subunit ribosomal RNA", at positions 509 to 809 of the family's 1533-position model. The record is from RNAcentral.